AUUGAGAAUGGAAAUGGGGAAUGUGUCAAAGAGACAACAACCCGACCAAAGAAAAAAACAACAGCAGCAGGUCACCAACAGGUCUUCAAUGUAGCGAGAAAUUCCCGCACCCGGAGGCGUCCUUCAGCUGGCCCCUAAACAAAUAUAUACUAGUUCAGUGAUAAUGAACGCCAUACUAAUUUCCAAAUUGUACACAAGAAACCAAAAUUAAAAUAAU
Molecule: long non-coding RNA, 217 nt
Filed under: Mytilus galloprovincialis (Mediterranean mussel)
Lineage: Eukaryota; Metazoa; Mollusca; Bivalvia; Mytilida; Mytilidae
Source: RNAcentral